Micropterus dolomieu (smallmouth bass) is the source of this 1108-nucleotide long non-coding RNA. RefSeq lists it as uncharacterized. The record is from RefSeq and is a predicted model, not a curated record. The transcript has 4 exons. Lineage: Eukaryota; Metazoa; Chordata; Actinopteri; Centrarchiformes; Centrarchidae.
CAAGGUAGUGUGAUCCACAACAAAGCCCUUCAGCUGGUAAGCACAGCUUCGGUUUAGCUGUACACGUUCCUGAACCAGCUUCGCAACCUAGACUGGACAAAUAUUUUCAUAGUGCCGCUGCAUGUUCCAACUGUGUGGGUGGUGCUACAGCUCAGCAGGAGCUGAGUGUGCCCAGCCCGGGCAUCUCCACUACACCUCUGCCAUCUCAAGUCUCCAGCGGCAAUGUAGAUGCAGUCCUACAAACACAAACAGACACCUACAACUUAAUUAAAGAGGAUGACAAGGAGAAGAAAAGCAACAAAUCACAUCCACACACUGGCGAACAGUGUUUGGCUCAAAUGCCUGGGAAUAGAUACAUGGAAGGGAUUCAAUACAUCUCACAUCAUGGGAGUUAACAACAGAGCCGGCUCCUCAACUUCAGUAUUUGAAACGUACAUAACUUGUCUUCACUGUUUAAAGCUAAAGUAGCCUCAGCUACUGGUGUGUGAAUAGAGGACAUCGACUCAUAAGCUUUGCAUCUGGGAUAUCUAGUAUCCAAAAUCAAUAAUUUUCCUUCCAUCACGUACACCAUUACUUGACUCAGAAACUUUAUUCAGCUGCAUUUCAACUUGUCCAGUAACAAGGAAACAUACUUUCAGUAGUGUGGCCAAGUUUUUUAAGUGGACUGUCUUUUUAAUUAUACAGUAACUUGAUUAAAUAAUCACUCUAGGCAAUAUGAUUUUCAGAGUAAAUAAUUUUCUUUUUUGAAUUUACACAGUCCAGCUUGGCAUGCUUAAGCAUUUAGAGUGCCAGAUUAUGAACCUGUGUCCUGAGUCACAAAUGAUGAUUACAAACUUCCCUAUAAAUACUCUGCUGUAUCAUAAAUCUGUUAUCUUGUGUCUUUUAUUUCUCAUUGAUUGAUGACUGUAUUUGAACACAUCUUCACUUUAAACGUGACAUUUACUCAGGGAAACGUGUAACUGACAGGAAUAAAGUGUAUAAAUGUUUUUUAAUUUCCAGGUAUUCAUAUCAAAUGCUUUUGACAACAUACUAGUGGCUAAUGCAUUUGCUGUAUGCAAUCUGGUAGCCCAGUUAUUGUUUUAAUAAAGAGAGAUGUGUCAUGACUGCA